AUGGCUAACUAUGUGCCAGCAGCCGCGGUAAUACAUAGGUCGCAAGCGUUAUCCGGAAUUAUUGGGCGUAAAGCGUUCGUAGGCUGUUUAUUAAGUCUGGAGUCAAAUCCCAGGGCUCAACCCUGGCUCGCUUUGGAUACUGGUAAACUAGAGUUAGAUAGAGGUAAGCGGAAUUCCAUGUGAAGCGGUGAAAUGCGUAGAUAUAUGGAAGAACACCAAAG
Molecule: ribosomal RNA, 221 nt
Filed under: Mycoplasmopsis arginini
Lineage: Bacteria; Bacillati; Mycoplasmatota; Mycoplasmoidales; Metamycoplasmataceae
Description: Mycoplasma arginini partial 16S ribosomal RNA
Rfam family: Bacterial small subunit ribosomal RNA
Source: RNAcentral